This 921-nucleotide ribosomal RNA is filed under the name uncultured bacterium. Its description in RNAcentral is "bacterial SSU rRNA". It matches the Rfam family "Bacterial small subunit ribosomal RNA", at positions 470 to 1400 of the family's 1533-position model. The record is from RNAcentral.
UGACGGUACCUGACUAAGAAGCCCCGGCUAACUACGUGCCAGCAGCCGCGGUAAUACGUAGGGGGCAAGCGUUAUCCGGAAUGAUUGGGCGUAAAGGGUGCGUAGGUGGCAGAUCAAGUCUGGAGUAAAAGGUAUGGGCUCAACCCGUACUUGCUCUGGAAACUGAUCAGCUAGAGAACAGAAGAGGACGGCGGAACUCCAUGUGUAGCGGUAAAAUGCGUAGAUAUAUGGAAGAACACCGGUGGCGAAGGCGGCCGUCUGGUCUGGAUUCUGACACUGAAGCACGAAAGCGUGGGGAGCAAAUAGGAUUAGAUACCCUAGUAGUCCACGCCGUAAACGAUGAGAACUAGGUGUUGGGGGAAUAACUCAGUGCCGCAGUUAACGCAAUAAGUUCUCCGCCUGGGGAGUAUGCACGCAAGUGUGAAACUCAAAGGAAUUGACGGGGGCCCGCACAAGCGGUGGAGUAUGUGGUUUAAUUCGAAGCAACGCGAAGAACCUUACCAGGCCUUGACAUCCCUUGCAGAGGUAUAGAGAUAUAUCCGAGGUUAUCAAGGAGACAGGUGGUGCAUGGUUGUCGUCAGCUCGUGUCGUGAGAUGUUGGGUUAAGUCCCGCAACGAGCGCAACCCUUGUGAUAUGUUACUAACAUUGAGUUGAGGACUCAUAUCAGACUGCCGGUGAUAAACCGGAGGAAGGUGGGGAUGACGUCAAAUCAUCAUGCCCCUUAUGGCCUGGGCUACACACGUACUACAAUGGCGUCUACAAAGAGCGGCAAGCCUGUGAAGGCAAGCGAAUCUCAUAAAGGACGUCCCAGUUCGGAUUGAAGUCUGCAACCCGACUUCAUGAAGCUGGAAUCGCUAGUAAUCGCGAAUCAGCAUGUCGCGGUGAAUACGUUCUCGGGCCUUGCACUCACCGCCCGUCAA